GAUGAACGCUAGCGGCAUGCCUAACACAUGCAAGUCGAGCGAUAAGCCGUCGAGCUUAAACCGGCGCACGUAUGCGUAGCGCGUAUACAAUCUGCCUUUCAAACAGUCUUAGCCCGGAGGAAUUUGUAUUAAUACCGGAUGUUAUAUAAGAUUGGCAUCUUUAUUAUAUUAUAGCUUUGGUGGUGACAGUUGAGUCUACGUUGCAUUAUCUAUUUGGAAAGGUAACGGCUUCUCAAGGCAACGAGGCGUAGCAUAGCUGAGAGGCUUAUCCGACACACUGGAACUGAGACACGGUCCAGACUCCUACGGGAGGCAGCAGUAGGGAAUCGAACACAAAGGGCGAAAGCCUAACGGAGCAACGCCGCGUGAGUGAAGAAGGUCUUCGGAUCGUAAAACUCUGUUAUUAGGGAAGAACAAAUGUGUAAGUAACUAUGCACGUCUUGACGGUACCUAAUCAGAAAGCCACGGCUAACUACGUG
This 479-nucleotide ribosomal RNA is filed under the name uncultured bacterium. RNAcentral describes it as "partial 16S ribosomal RNA". It matches the Rfam family "Bacterial small subunit ribosomal RNA", at positions 28 to 507 of the family's 1533-position model. The record is from RNAcentral.